Molecule: ribosomal RNA, 289 nt
Filed under: uncultured bacterium
Lineage: Bacteria
Description: partial 16S ribosomal RNA
Rfam family: Bacterial small subunit ribosomal RNA
Source: RNAcentral
GGAUUAGAUACCCUGGUAGUCCACGCUGUAAACGAUGAUUACUCGUUGUCGGCGAUACACAGUCGGUGGCUAAGCGAAAGUGAUAAGUAAUCCACCUGGGGAGUACGAUCGCAAGGUUGAAACUCAAAGGAAUUGACGGGGGCCCGCACAAGCGGAGGAGCAUGUGGUUUAAUUCGAUGAUACGCGAGGAACCUUACCUGGGCUUAAAUGUAGAGUGCAUGAGUGGGAAACCAUUCUUUUCUUCGGAACUCUUUACAAGGUGCUGCAUGGUUGUCGUCAGCUCGUGCCG